Molecule: ribosomal RNA, 497 nt
Filed under: uncultured bacterium
Lineage: Bacteria
Description: partial 16S ribosomal RNA
Rfam family: Bacterial small subunit ribosomal RNA
Source: RNAcentral
GAUGAACGCUGGCGGCGUGCCUAAUACAUGCAAGUCGAGCGAACGGACGAGGAGCUUGCUUCUCUGAUGUUAGCGGCGGACGGGUGAGUAACACGUGGAUAACCUACCUAUAAGACUGGGAUAACUUCGGGAAACCGGAGCUAAUACCGGGUAAUAUUUUGAACCGCAUGGUUCAAUAGUGAAAUACGGUUUUGCUGUCACUUAUAGAUGGAUCCGCGCUGCAUUAGCUAGUUGGUAAGGUAACGGCUUACCAAGGCAACGAUGCCUAGCCGACCUGAGAGGGUGAUCGGCCACACGGGAACUGAGACACGGUCCAGACUCCUACGGGAGGCAGCAGUAGGGAAUCUUCCGCAAUGGGCGAAAGCCUGACGGAGCAACGCCGCGUGAGUGAUGAAGGUCUCCGGAUCGUAAAACUCUGUUAUUAGGGAAGAACACAUGUGUAAGUAACUCUGCACAUCUUGACGGUACCUAAACAGAAAGCCACGGCUAACUACGUG